AUUGAACGCUGGCGGCAAGCUUAACACAUGCAAGUCGGGCGGGGGAAGGUAGCUUGCUACCGGACCUAGCGGCGGACGGGUGAGUAAUGCUUAGGAAUCUGCCUAUUAGUGGGGGACAACAUCUCGAAAGGGAUGCUAAUACCGCAUACGUCCUACGGGAGAAAGCAGGGGAUCUUCGGACCUUGCGCUAAUAGAUGAGCCUAAGUCGGAUUAGCUAGUUGGUGGGGUAAAGGCCUACCAAGGCGACGAUCUGUAGCGGGUCUGAGAGGAUGAUCCGCCACACUGGGACUGAGACACGGCCCAGACUCCUACGGGAGGCAGCAGUGGGGAAUAUUGGACAAUGGGGGGAACCCUGAUCCAGCCAUGCCGCAUGUGUGAAGAAGGCCUUAUGGUUGUAAAGCACUUUAAGCGAGGAGGAGGCUACUUUAGUUAAUACCUAGAGAUAGUGGACGUUACUCGCAGAAUAAGCACCGGCUAACUCUGUGCCAGCCGCCGCCGUAA
Molecule: ribosomal RNA, 501 nt
Filed under: uncultured bacterium
Lineage: Bacteria
Description: partial 16S ribosomal RNA
Rfam family: Bacterial small subunit ribosomal RNA
Source: RNAcentral